RNAcentral lists this ribosomal RNA (163 nucleotides) under uncultured bacterium. RNAcentral's name for it is "partial 16S ribosomal RNA". It matches the Rfam family "Bacterial small subunit ribosomal RNA", at positions 1336 to 1500 of the family's 1533-position model. The record is from RNAcentral.
UAGUAAUCGCGGAUCAGCAUGCCGCGGUGAAUACGUUCCCGGGCCUUGUACACACCGCCCGUCACACCAUGGGAGUCGGUAACACCCGAAGCCGAUAGUCUAACGAAAGAGGACGUCGUCGAAGGUGGGAUUGAUGACUGGGGUGAAGUCGUAACAAGGUAGC